Molecule: long non-coding RNA, 812 nt
Filed under: Androctonus crassicauda
Lineage: Eukaryota; Metazoa; Arthropoda; Arachnida; Scorpiones; Buthidae
Source: RNAcentral
GAGAUAGCGUAUUUGAUUAAUGUUUUAAGUUACGUUCUAACUGUUAUUUUUCAAUAGAAAACACGACUGAAAAUUAGAAAAUGAUUGGUUUUUAUUAGUUUUCACUGCUCUUUACACAAAUGUUAUGCAAAUUUUUUGACAAAUUAUUAUUGUUGAAGAAAUAAAUUAAAUAAUGCAGUUACGCUACAAAAUUGUAGAUUGUAAUCGGUACAGUACUGAUAUUCUGCAUAAAAAUUUUCUAGGUUGCCUUUUUCCACGGUAUUUUUUAUUUUUUUUCUUUGCGACAAAUUUUCUUUUGGCGCACUGGCGAUGCCAUUUUCCUACCGGCGUUACGCGACAUUCUAGAAUGUUCGAUCUUGCAAAAGCAUAGGUUGUAAGGAGUGUUUAUAAAAAUGACGUUGUUUAAUGUUGCAAACGUUAUAAAUAUGUUAGCGACAUCGUUUCACAUUAAAACUUCAACACAGACACCUAUAACACCUCUUGAAAUCGAAGUACAUGAUGAAAUUCAUCAGAUUCUAUAGAAUGUUCAGAACAAACCUUUGAUGACAUCAUUUGAACAUGAUUACAUGCUGGAUUUUGCCGAUUCAUCACAAUUACAUGAGAAACAAGUUUCAGAGUAUGUUAGGUCUAUAGAUAGUGACGAUGUUGAUGCUGAAGAUAGUUUUCAGCUUAAAGAAUGCAUUGUCGAUGACGAAAAUGGGAAGGUCGACUUUAAUUAUAAGAGAAAAGCUGUGGAGUUUUGGAAAGGUGGAAAGAAGACACGUCGUACUUUAACUAGUGUACAGAGCCGUUAUCGCAAGGUUAAAUCCUUU